This is a long non-coding RNA of Gallus gallus (chicken), 2719 nucleotides long. The record is from Ensembl. Lineage: Eukaryota; Metazoa; Chordata; Aves; Galliformes; Phasianidae.
CUCUCUUCAUGUUUGGUCCCUAAGCCUUUAGAAGCAACUAUUUGGGUGUGCUUAAUGAAAUGCUCUCCUCUUUGCUCAUGCUCUAGUCCCUUCCCUCCUUUCCUCUUGGUGCCUUCUCCAUUCCAGGCCAUGAGACCUGCUCCAGCAGCUCCAGGCCACCUGGAGUGCACAUCCAUUUCCCUGCUGGGGACAGUACUGGUGUCAGCUUCCACAGCCUAGCCCAGCAGUUUUCACCCCCUGUUUGACCAUGCACCAGGAGGGAAGGAGCAUGAAACAGACUAUAUGUUAAGAAUGGUACCUCUACCCUGACAAACAACAGGAAAUCAGUGAUCUUCAUGGAGAUUUUCCUCUCUGGUGAUACUGGUGAUCAGUGUGCAUGAGAAACUGUGAGUAAAAGGGUCUUCUAACUGCAACAGUAGUGGGAUGAAUUAAAAAGGGAUUUGUUCUUUAACACACAAAGGCAAUGAACAAUAGGAACAGUCUCCUUGUGCCUGUUUACUUCAUCUCAAAUCUUCAUGACAUUUUUGCUCUUUUUAUUAAUGCUGUCUGCUCUCUUUUUUUUCCACAAAUCAGUCUGAAUGCACAGGUAAUCCAAUAAUACUUGAGUGUUGAACUUCUGAACUGAAAGUGUGUUCUAAACCCUUGAGCUAGAUAUAAAAUGUUUCAUAUCAUUUCUCUAUGCAGAGAGGGCACAGCAGUCUGUACCAUGCAUACAGCUGAUUCUUUGCACUAGGACCAUUUCAUCACCAUUUCUUUUCCACAGAAGUUCAUUCUGUUGCAAUUAAAUAUACUAUAUUUCCAAUGCUAGAAGAAGUUCAGAGUUUUCAGUAUUGAUAUCUCAUAGCUCUCCACAGAACAAGCACUGUGGAAAAAAUCAGUGUCUGCACUUUCUUGUAAGACUCCCAUUUUAACCCAUCCUGUCUACUGCUCUGGCAGUGUGAAAAUCAUUUGCCCUCUGCUCCCUCCAACCCUCACCCUACAUAUCACUUUUCGUACUUAGCAUUGUUUACAUGUUUAAUGGCCACAAAACCAACAUGGUUUUCUACUGUCCUAAUGGAAGACAAAUAGGAAAUAUGUCUGACAGGCCCUUUUCAGGUAUGUUUAGGGGCUGUAAAAAGGACAUUACUAGUGAAGUAACCUAAGAUCUCAUUUCAGACAGACUUAUCAUCAAAGAGCCAGAGCCUACAUUAAUGAUCCUGAAGCAAUCUUGAAUAAAGAAUUAUGACUGCUGGGGCUAGAAGAGCUGAAGCUUUCUUUUUUUUUUUCAGACAUUUCUAAUCAACUGAAUUAAUACUUCAUACAUGUCUGUUAUGCUCCUUGUUCUCUGCAUGGUGGGUCUUUGGAUAAUUUAAUUAGGUUUGAUAUGUAUCUAACUCGCAUCAGGAGUAUGGAUGAAUGAAUAAGAAGUGUGUAAGUGCCAUAGUCAAUGAAUUUUGCCAAUAUUCCUACUCUUGACUGGACAAAAACACUACUAUAUUGCUUUGUGUAUGAUAACUUAAGUAUCUAUCAGCUGCUGAGCAAUCCUUCAUUUAACCUUUUACAUUAUUUUGAGUGAACAUCAACCAAUAGUACAUUUCUUUUCCUUUAUCACAAGUGACUUUAACCUGCUAAUCAGAUUCCACAUUUCCUUCUUGGAGAAAGAAUUGACCUUUCAGUGUAAUACAAUUUUAUCAUUCUGCAUCCUUUGAUAGAACCAGAACACAGAGUAAUCCCUCUGUGCAGACAUGACUCAUAUUCCAUGACAUGACUCUUCUUCUGAUGCUGCCAGAGAUCCUGGAACCUUACUUUGUAAGAAUAGGACAUAUGCCAUCACAAAGGAAUGAUAAGUAAUAAUCUUUUGCAAGCAGAACUGAAGAACAUACUAUCUCUCUUAAUCAGGUCUGGAUUUCCUGUGUUCACAGCCUUCUGAUUCCACAGGCACUCCUCCAGAGAUAUUUGUGUACUGUCACAGAACAUAUUUUGAAACAUUUGAAAGAUGUAUUUCAUUCUGAAAACUAUUUCUUUCAGUGAGGAAGUAACAGAAAGUAUAAACUUUAAUUAUAAGAUCAGUUCAUUCACUACUAGAGAAUGGAUUUCUCUCCCUGUCUUUGCAACUAAGUGAGCUCAACUUAGUUUCAAAUCUCUUCCUCUUAGGAAGGCUAUCAUUUUCUAAUGGCUACAUAGGAAGCCAUUAGAAAAAAAAGCCUUGCCUUCUACACUAGGCAGGUUCAUUUCAUUCAAACUGGAUCCCUUGUCCCUUAGCGAAUUCCUCUGAUCUGGAACAUGUCUGUUUUAGAUGGGCUGACGCAUCAGAGUCCAGCUUCUGUUGAUAACAGUGUAGGGAAAUCAUGAUCUUAACCUAAAUGAAUCACUCAUGUAAAGAAUGUUCCUAUGUUAAAUGAUUAAAACGAUGUUAAAACCUUUUGUUAGGUCACAUUUUCCUCAUUGACACACAAAUGCAGUAGUGUUUCUAUACAGAGCUUUCCAAAUGAAUUAUGCUUUGGUUUAGAGAUCUGCAUUUCACAUCUUCUCAUACUCCUCACACUUAGAUACUUCUUGCUUUAAUAGGGCAAGUAACUCAAUAUAUUUUUACUGCCCAUAUUUUAAAAUUAAUGUAUUGACAGGGAACUAUGGCAGUGCCCGAGUUUUAAUGACUCUCGAAUUGGUGUUAACUCCCUUCUUCUUUUUUAUUUUAAUCUAUUGGUGGAAACCAUUACACUACAAUAAAAGUUUACUGUUG